AGGGAUAGGGUCGGUUCGGCCGGGUUUCACACAGGUGUUGCAUGGCUGUCGUCAGCUCGUGUCGUGAGAUGUUGGGUUAAGUCCCGCAACGAGCGCAACCCUCAUCCUUAGUUACCAUCAGGUAAUGCUGGGGACUUUAAGGAAACUGCCAGUGAUAAACUGGAGGAAGGUGGGGAUGAUGUCAAGUCAUCAUGGCCCUUAUGGAGUGGGCUACACACGUGCUACAAUGGUGGCUACAAUGGGCUGCAAAGUCGCGAGGCUAAGCUAAUCCCUUAAAAGCCAUCUCAGUUCGGAUUGUACUCUGCAACUCGAGUACAUGAAGUUGGAAUCGCUAGUAAUCGUGGAUCAGCAUGCCACGGUGAAUACGUUCUCGGGUCUUGUACACACUGCCCGUCACGCCAUGGGAAUUGGU
Molecule: ribosomal RNA, 412 nt
Filed under: Wolbachia sp.
Lineage: Bacteria; Pseudomonadati; Pseudomonadota; Alphaproteobacteria; Rickettsiales; Anaplasmataceae
Description: bacterial SSU rRNA
Rfam family: Bacterial small subunit ribosomal RNA
Source: RNAcentral